Molecule: ribosomal RNA, 1430 nt
Filed under: uncultured bacterium
Lineage: Bacteria
Description: 16S ribosomal RNA
Rfam family: Bacterial small subunit ribosomal RNA
Source: RNAcentral
AUUGAACGCUGGCGCCCUGCUUUACACACGCAACUCCGGCGGCUCCACAGACAAGCUUGCUUCUUGGGUGGCGAGUGGCGAACGGGUGAGUAACAUAUCGGAACGUACCGAGUAAUGGGGGAUAACUAAUCGAAAGAUUAUCUAAUACCGCAUAUUCUCUGACGAGGAAAGCAGGGGACCUUCGGGCCUUGCGUUAUUCGAGCGGCCGAUAUCUGAUUAGGUACUUGGUGGGAUAAAAGCUUACCAACCCGACUAUUUGUACCUGGUCUGAGAAGACGACCAGCCACACUGGGACUGAUACACCGCCCCGACUCCUACGGGAGGCAGCCAUGGGGAAUUUUGGACAAUGGGCUAAAGCCUGAUCCAGCCAUGCCGCGUGCACGAUGAACGCCUUCGGGUUGUAAACUGCUUUUGUACCGAACGAAAAGACUCUGGUUAAUACCUGGGGUCCAUGACCGUACCGUAUGAUAAGCACCGGGCUAACUAACGUGCCAUGCAGCCGCGGUAAUACGUAAGCGUGCAAGCGUUUAUCGGAAUCUACUGAGCAGUACAGCGUGCGCCGGCGUUAUAUAGACAGAUGUGAAAUCCUCGGGCUCAACUUGAGAUCUUGCAUUUGUGACUGUAUAGCUAGAGUACGCAGAGGCGAUGGAUUCCGCGUGUAUCAUGAAAUGCUAGAUAUGCGAGAACACGAUGNCGANGGCANNNCCUGNCNUGUACUGACGCUCAUGCANNNNAGCGUGGGGAGCAGACAGGAUAGAUACCGUGGUAGUCCACGCCAUGAACGAUGUCAACUGGUUGUUGGGUUUUCACUGACUCAGUAACGAAGCUAACGCGUGAAGUUGACCGCUGUGGAGUACGGCCGCAAGGUUGAAACUCAAAGGAAUUGACGGGGACCCGCACAAGCGGUGGAUGAUGUGGUUUAAUUCGAUGCAACGCGAAAAACCUUACCCACCUUUGACAUGUACGGAAUCCUUUAGAGAUAGAGGAGUGCUCGAAAGAGAGCCGUAACACAGGUGCUGCAUGGCUGUCUUCAGCUCGUUUCGUGAGAUGUUGGGUUAAGUCCCGCAACGAGCGCAACCCUUGCCAUUAGUUGAUAAGAAAGGGCACUCUAAUGGGACUGCCGGUGACAAACCGGAGGAAGGUGGGGAUGACGUCAAGUCCUCAUGGCCCUUAUAGGUGGGGCUACACACGUCAUACAAUGGCUGGUACAGAGGGUUGCCAACCCGCGAGGGGGAGCUAAUCCCAUAAAGCCAGUCGUAGUCCGGAUCGCAGUCUGCAACUCGACUGCGUGAAGUCGGAAUCGCUAGUAAUCGCGGAUCAGAAUGUCGCGGUGAAUACGUUCCCGGGUCUUGUACACACCGCCCGUCACACCAUGGGAGCGGGUUCUGCCAGAAGUAGGUAGCCUAACCGUAAGGAGGGCGCUUACCACG